UGGGGAAUUUUGGACAAUGGGCGAAAGCCUGAUCCAGCAAUGCCGCGUGUGUGAAGAAGGCCUUCGGGUUGUAAAGCACUUUUGUCCGGAAAGAAAAUCCUUGGCUCUAAUACAGUCGGGGGAUGACGGUACCGGAAGAAUAAGCACCGGCUAACUACGUGCCAGCAGCCGCGGUAAUACGUAGGGUGCAAGCGUUAAUCGGAAUUACUGGGCGUAAAGCGUGCGCAGGCGGUUUGCUAAGACCGAUGUGAAAUCCCCGGGCUCAACCUGGGAAACUGCAUUGGUGACUGGCAGGCUAGAGUAUGGCAGAGGGGGGUAGAAUUCCACGUGUAGCAGUGAAAUGCGUAGAGAUGUGGAGGAAUACCGAUGGCGAAGGCAGCCCCCUGGGCCAAUACUGACGCUCAUGCACGAAAAGCGUGGGGAGCAAAACAGGAUUAGAUACCCCUGGUAGUCCACGCCCUAAAACGAUGUCAACUAGUUGUUGGGGGAUUCAUUUCCUUAGUAACGUAGCUAACGCGUGAAGUUGACCGCCUGGGGAGUACGGUCGCAAGAUUAAAACUCAAAUGAAUUG
Molecule: ribosomal RNA, 571 nt
Filed under: uncultured bacterium
Lineage: Bacteria
Description: partial 16S ribosomal RNA
Rfam family: Bacterial small subunit ribosomal RNA
Source: RNAcentral